GGGUGAUGAAGGAUCAGACGUUGGUGCAGUUUUAGGUGCUCUAUCACAAGUCAUUACCAAUUUGCUUGGUCCUGGAGGUUUGGAUAUUCCUGGAUUAGUUUCCAGUGGAUCGGCUUUAGUAGCUAGUCUUCUUGCUGGUGACGAAAAUUUCGGAAAAGUUCUCGGAAACAUAGUUGGU
Long non-coding RNA from Sitodiplosis mosellana (orange wheat blossom midge), 178 nucleotides. RefSeq lists it as uncharacterized. The record is from RefSeq and is a predicted model, not a curated record. NCBI's taxonomy places the organism in Eukaryota, Metazoa, Arthropoda, Insecta, Diptera, Cecidomyiidae. The transcript has 3 exons.